GGAUGUGAAAUUGACUCUAGUAGGGAGUCCGUGUCCACGCCGCGACUCCCUAAUGGAGUCAGGUUGACUUCUAU
This 74-nucleotide microRNA precursor is filed under the name Plutella xylostella (diamondback moth). RNAcentral describes it as "mir-929 microRNA precursor family". It matches the Rfam family "mir-929 microRNA precursor family". The record is from Rfam by way of RNAcentral. Lineage: Eukaryota; Metazoa; Arthropoda; Insecta; Lepidoptera; Plutellidae.